RNAcentral lists this ribosomal RNA (275 nucleotides) under uncultured bacterium. Its description in RNAcentral is "partial 16S ribosomal RNA". It matches the Rfam family "Bacterial small subunit ribosomal RNA", at positions 338 to 605 of the family's 1533-position model. The record is from RNAcentral.
CCUACGGGGGGCAGCAGUGGGGAAUAUUGGACAAUGGGCGCAAGCCUGAUCCAGCCAUGCCGCGUGUGUGAAGAAGGCCCUCGGGUUGUAAAGCACUUUAAGCGAGGAGGAAGGUCAUCAUACUAAUACUAUGGUGAAUUGACGUUACUCGCAGAAUAAGCACCGGCUAACUCUGUGCCAGCAGCCGCGGUAAUACAGAGGGUGCAAGCGUUAAUCGGAAUUACUGGGCGUAAAGCGCGCGUAGGCGGUUUGUUAAGUCGGAUGUGAAAUCCCUG